CCCUGUCUACUAUCCAGCG
Molecule: small nuclear RNA, 19 nt
Filed under: Arabidopsis thaliana (thale cress)
Lineage: Eukaryota; Viridiplantae; Streptophyta; Magnoliopsida; Brassicales; Brassicaceae
Description: snRNA_12586
Source: RNAcentral